Molecule: ribosomal RNA, 492 nt
Filed under: uncultured bacterium
Lineage: Bacteria
Description: partial 16S ribosomal RNA
Rfam family: Bacterial small subunit ribosomal RNA
Source: RNAcentral
AGUGAACGCUGGCGGUAGGCCUAACACAUGCAAGUCGAACGGCAGCACAGUAAGAGCUUGCUCUUACGGGUGGCGAGUGGCGGACGGGUGAGGAAUACAUCGGAAUCUACUUUUUCGUGGGGGAUAACGUAGGGAAACUUACGCUAAUACCGCAUACGACCUACGGGUGAAAGCAGGGGAUCUUCGGACCUUGCGCGAUUCAAUGAGCCGAUGUCGGAUUAGCUAGUUGGCGGGGUAAAGGCCCACCAAGGCGACGAUCCGUAGCUGGUCUGAGAGGAUGAUCAGCCACACUGGAACUGAGACACGGUCCAGACUCCUACGGGAGGCAGCAGUGGGGAAUAUUGGACAAUGGGCGCAAGCCUGAUCCAGCCAUACCGCGUGGGUGAAGAAGGCCUUCGGGUUGUAAAGCCCUGUUGUUGGGAAAGAAAAGCAGCAGGUUAAUACCCCGCUGUUCUGACGGUACCCAAAGAAUAAGCACCGGCUAACUUCGUG